This 470-nucleotide ribosomal RNA is filed under the name uncultured bacterium. Its description in RNAcentral is "bacterial SSU rRNA". It matches the Rfam family "Bacterial small subunit ribosomal RNA", at positions 28 to 518 of the family's 1533-position model. The record is from RNAcentral.
GACGAACGCUGGCGGCGUGCUUAACACAUGCAAGUCGAGCGGUAAGGCCCUUUCGGGAGUACACGAGCGGCGAACGGGUGAGUAACACGUGGGUGACCUGCCCUCAGCUCUGGGAUAAGCCUGGGAAACCGGGUCUAAUACCGGAUAUGACUCCAUGACGCAUGUUGUGGGGUGGAAAGCCUUGUGCGGCUGAGGAUGGGCCCGCGGCCUAUCAGCUUGUUGGUGGGGNGAUGGCCUACCAAGGCGACGACGGGUAGCCGGCCUGAGAGGGCGACCGGCCACACUGGGACUGAGACACGGCCCAGACUCCUACGGGAGGCAGCAGUGGGGAAUAUUGGACAAUGGGCGAAAGCCUGAUCCAGCAAUGCCGCGUGAGUGAUGAAGGCCUUAGGGUGUAAAGCUCUUUUACCCGGGAUGAUAAUGACAGUACCGGGAGAAUAAGCUCCGGCUAACUCCGUGACAGCAGCCGC